RNAcentral lists this ribosomal RNA (440 nucleotides) under uncultured bacterium. RNAcentral's name for it is "partial 16S ribosomal RNA". It matches the Rfam family "Bacterial small subunit ribosomal RNA", at positions 338 to 795 of the family's 1533-position model. The record is from RNAcentral.
CCUACGGGAGGCUGCAGUGGGGGAUAAUGCACAAUGGGGGAAAGCCUGAUGCAGCGACGCCGCGUGAGUGAAGAAGGAUUUCGGUAUGUAAAGCUCUAUCAGCAAGGAAGAAAAGGAAAGUACCUGACCAAGAAUCCCCGGCCAACUACGUGCCAGCAGCCGCGGUAAUACGUAGGGGGCAAGCGUUAUCCGGAUUUACUGGGUGUAAGGGGAGCGUAGACGGUUAUUUAAGUCCGUAGUGAAAGCCCGGGGCCCAACCCCGGGACUGCUUUGGAAACUGUGUAACUGGAGUACAGGAGGGGCAGGCGGAAUUCCUGGUGUAGCGGUGAAAUGCGUAGAUAUCAGGAGGAACUCCGGCGGCGAAGGCGGCCUACUGGACUGACACUGACGUUGAGGCUCGAAAGCGUGGGGAGCAAACAGGAUUAGAUACCCGAGUAGUC